GUCAGAGGCGAUGAAGGACGUGCUAAUCUGCGAUAAGCGCCGGUAAGGUGAUAUGAACCGUUAUAACCGGCGAUUUCCGAAUGGGGAAACCCAGUGUGAUUCGUCACACUAUCAUUAACUGAAUCCAUAGGUUAAUGAGGCGAACCGGGGGAACUGAAACAUCUAAGUACCCCGAGGAAAAGAAAUCAACCGAGAUUCCCCCAGUAGCGGCGAGCGAACGGGGAGGAGCCCAGAGCCUGAAUCAGCAUGUGUGUUAGUGGAAGCGUCUGGAAAGGCGCGCGAUACAGGGUGACAGCCCCGUACACAAAAGCGCAUGUGCUGUGAGCUCGAUGAGUAGGGCGGGACACGUGGUAUCCUGUCUGAAUAUGGGGGGACCAUCCUCCAAGGCUAAAUACUCCUGACUGACCGAUAGUGAACCAGUACCGUGAGGGAAAGGCGAAAAGAACCCCGGCGAGGGGAGUGAAAAAGAACCUGAAACCGUGU
Molecule: ribosomal RNA, 483 nt
Filed under: Salmonella enterica
Lineage: Bacteria; Pseudomonadati; Pseudomonadota; Gammaproteobacteria; Enterobacterales; Enterobacteriaceae
Also listed under: 1 other name
Description: partial 23S ribosomal RNA
Rfam family: Bacterial large subunit ribosomal RNA
Source: RNAcentral